Unclassified non-coding RNA from Gorilla gorilla gorilla (western lowland gorilla), 279 nucleotides. It matches the Rfam family "Metazoan signal recognition particle RNA". Rfam says of the family: The signal recognition particle (SRP) is a universally conserved ribonucleoprotein. It is involved in the co-translational targeting of proteins to membranes. The record is from Ensembl. NCBI's taxonomy places the organism in Eukaryota, Metazoa, Chordata, Mammalia, Primates, Hominidae.
ACUGGGCGUGGUGGUGCACGCCUAUUGUCCCAGCUACUUAGGAGGCUGAGGUGGGAGGAUCGCUUGAGCACAGGAGGUCUAGGUUGCCAUGAGCUGUGAUGGUGCCACUGCACUCCAGCCUGGGUGACAGAGUGAGACUCUGUCUCAAAAAUAAUAAUAAUAGGCCAGGCGCCGUGGCUCAUGCCUGUAAUCCCAGCACUUUGGGAGGCCGAGGCGGGUGGAUUGCCUGAGCUCAGGAAUUCGAGACCAACCUGGACAACAAGGUGAAAUCCCAUCUCU